CCUACGGGAGGCAGCAGUAGGGAAUCUUUCACUAUGGGCGAAAGCCUGAUGGAGCAACGCCGCGUGCAGGAUGAAGGCCUUCGGGUUGUGAACUGCUUUUAUAAGCGAGAAAUAUGAUGGUAACUUAUGAAUAAGGAUCGGCUAACUACGUGCCAGCAGCCGCGGUCAUACGUAGGAUCCGAGCAUUAUCCGGAGUGACUGGGUGUAAAGAGUUGCGUAGGUGGCAUAAUAAGUAGCUAGUGAAAUCUGGUGGCUCAACCAUUCAGACUAUUAGCUAAACUGUUAAGCUCGAGACCGUUAGGGGUAACUGGAAUUUCUAGUGUAGGAAUGAAAUCCGUAGAUAUUAGAAGGAACACCAAUAGCGUAGGCAGGUUGCUGGGACGGUUCUGACACUAAGGCACGAAAGCGUAGGGAGCAAACGGGAUUAGAUACCCGAGUAGUC
Molecule: ribosomal RNA, 442 nt
Filed under: uncultured bacterium
Lineage: Bacteria
Description: partial 16S ribosomal RNA
Rfam family: Bacterial small subunit ribosomal RNA
Source: RNAcentral